RNAcentral lists this ribosomal RNA (447 nucleotides) under uncultured bacterium. RNAcentral describes it as "bacterial SSU rRNA". It matches the Rfam family "Bacterial small subunit ribosomal RNA", at positions 355 to 825 of the family's 1533-position model. The record is from RNAcentral.
UCGGGAAUUUUGGGCAAUGGGCGAAAGCCUGACCCAGCAACGCCGCGUGAAGGAUGAAGUAUUUCGGUAUGUAAACUUCGAAAGAAUAGGAAGAAUAAAUGACGGUACUAUUUGUAAGGUCCGGCUAACUACGUGCCAGCAGCCGCGGUAAUACGUAGGGACCAAGCGUUGUUCGGAUUUACUGGGCGUAAAGGGUGCGUAGGCGGCAUAUCAAGUCACUUGUGAAAUCUCCGGGCUUAACUCGGAACUGCCAAGUGAUACUGAUGUGCUAGAGUGCAGAAAGGGCAACUGGAAUUCUUGGUGUAGCGGUGAAAUGCGUAGAUAUCAAGAGGAACACCUGAGGCGAAGGCGAGUUGCUAGGCUGACACUGACGCUGAGGUACGAAAGCUAGGGGAGCGAACGGGAUUAGAUACCCACGUAGUCCCUGAGCGGGCUGGCAAGGCGCAU